Molecule: ribosomal RNA, 467 nt
Filed under: uncultured bacterium
Lineage: Bacteria
Description: partial 16S ribosomal RNA
Rfam family: Bacterial small subunit ribosomal RNA
Source: RNAcentral
GAUGAACGCUGACAGAAUGCUUAACACAUGCAAGUCAACUUGAAUUUGGGUUUUUAACUUAGGUUUGGGUGGCGGACGGGUGAGUAACGCGUAAAGAACUUGCCUCACAGCUAGGAACAACAUUUGGAAACGAAUGCUAAUACCUAAUAUUAUGAUAAUAGGGCAUCCUAUAAUUAUGAAAGCUAUAAGCGCUGUGAGAGAGCUUUGCGUCCCAUUAGCUAGUUGGAGAGGUAACGGCUCACCAAGGCGAUGAUGGGUAGCCGGCCUGAGAGGGUGAUCGGCCACAAGGGGACUGAGACACGGCCCUUACUCCUACGGGAGGCAGCAGUGGGGAAUAUUGGACAAUGGACCGAGAGUCUGAUCCAGCAAUUCUGUGUGCACGAUGAAGUUUUUCGGAAUGUAAAGUGCUUUCAGUUGGGAAGAAACAAAUGACGGUACCAACAGAAGAAGUGACGGCUAAAUACGUG